AUGAACGCUGGCGGCGUGGCUAAGGCAUGCAAGUCGAGCGAGUUAUUUUUUGUAGCAAUACAGAGAAUAGCUAGCGGCAAACGGGUGCGUAACACAUUGGUAACCUACCUCGAAGUCGGGCACAACCAGCCGAAAGGCUGGCUAAUUCCACGAUGGUCUCCCCAGAGCGCAAGCAAAGGGGAGUAAAGCAGCAAUGCGCUUCGAGAGGGGCCUAUGGCCCAUCAGCUAGUUGGUAAGGUAACGGCUUACCAAGGCUAUGACGGGUAGGGGGUGUGAGAGCACGACCCCCCUCACUGGAACUGAGAUACUGUCCAGACACCUACGGGUGGCUGCAGUCACGAAUAUUCCCCAAUGGACGAAAGUCUGAGGGAGCGACGCCGCGUGCAGGAUGAAGGGCUUCGGCUCGUAAACUGCUUUUGUCAGGGAAAAAAUCUGAUGGUACCUGAAGAAUAAGUGGUUGCUAACUCUGU
RNAcentral lists this ribosomal RNA (470 nucleotides) under uncultured bacterium. RNAcentral describes it as "partial 16S ribosomal RNA". It matches the Rfam family "Bacterial small subunit ribosomal RNA", at positions 29 to 506 of the family's 1533-position model. The record is from RNAcentral.